Molecule: ribosomal RNA, 250 nt
Filed under: uncultured prokaryote
Description: partial 16S ribosomal RNA
Rfam family: Bacterial small subunit ribosomal RNA
Source: RNAcentral
UACGUAGGGGGCAAGCGUUAUCCGGAUUUACUGGGUGUAAAGGGUGCGUAGACGGUCGUGCAAGUCUUAAGUGUAAGGCGGGGGCUCAACUCCCGGACUGCUUUGGAAACUGUAUGACUAGAGUGCAGGAGGGUUAAGCGGAGUUCCUGGUGUAGCGGUGAAAUGCUUAGAUAUCAGGAGGAACACCGGCGGCGAAGGCGGCUUACUGGACUGUAACUGACGUUGAGGCACGAAAGCGUGGGGAGCAAAC